UCACGUUUUUGAAACUUGCCACCGGUGUGUCCGUGUUGCUGUGAUUGUGUGUCCGUUUACGGCGGAUGUAUCUUAGUAAAGUUCCUCUCUGACCCCCCACAACAACCCCAUAUUUAUAGUCAUCAAAAUGGAGGGCGAUGAUAAAUGUGAUCCGGACAGGCCCGCUCAUCCGGGGACUUUCCUAGCCGGCGAGGCCAGGCAGAGUGACAGCCAGCCCGGUGAACGCCGCAUAGACUUCCCGGUGUCUGUGGUUCUUCCUGCCGGCGGCACCGGAGAGCGAACCGGACUCAAGACACCGAAGCAGUUCUGCUCGUUCCUGGGCAGACCGCUCAUCAGCUACACAAUCCAAUCAUUCGAAAGGGUGUCAUGGAUCCAGAGCAUCGUGGUGGUUGUUGCCAAAGAAAACCUGGACCUGAUGACAGACAUCAUGCAGCGCUUCCAGCACAGGAAGGUUCGAGUGGUACCAGGUGGUUCGACUCGACACCGGUCCAUCUACAACGGGGUUCUGGCUCUGGGUGAACAGAAGGAGGAGGAGGAGGGGUCAGUGUCAGUAGACAGGCCGAAGGUGGUCAUCAUCCACGACGCUGUGCGGCCUUUCGUGGAGGAAGACUUUCUCUACAAGAUAGCCAUGGCUGCUAAAGAACAAGGGGCAGCGGGAGCGAUCCGCCCUCUGGUGUCCACAGUAAUAGCCACCACGCCAGAAGGUUACCUGGACCAUUCUCUGGAGCGAACCAAGUACAGAGCCAGCGAGAUGCCUCAGGGAUUCACGUACGAUGUCAUCUCUCAGGCGUACCACAGGUGCACCGAGUCAGAGUUGGAGUUUGGCACCGAGUGUCUUCAUCUGGCUCUGCAGUUCUGUGGCACCAACGCCAAGCUCAUCGAGGGUCCGCCAACACUGUGGAAGGUGACCUACAAACGGGAUCUGGCUGCUGCAGAAUCCAUCGUCAAAGAGACUUUGUCACGGUCGGCCUGUGUUAUCACCGGUGGAUCAUUGUGCGCUGAGACGCUGGCCAAUGCCCUGCAGAAGGCGGCGGGAGCUGUGGACAUGACUCUGGACAUCGUCCCAGAUCUGACAGGAGACAGCGUCACGUAUCUGUUAACGGAAUGCAACUUUAUCCAGGUUUCUGUGAAUCGCUGUUGUCUGACUGAACUGAAGACCUUACUGACGCAUUUGGAGGAAGAGAAUCGAGCUGUUCUUCAGCCACUGGUCGUUAUUUGGGUUCAUCUGAGCAGUUUGGAGGAGGAGCUGUCUGUCAGCGGGACGACGCCAGGACCGGCGGCAAUUAUGGACGUGGCCUCGGCAGCCAAGCUGAGAAACAUUCUGCUCUAUGGCGUCUGGCUCCAUCAGUCAGAGGACAGUGAGCGCUGGCAGAGGUCAGUUCUGAAGGUCGCUGAGAUCACUUCAGCACUGAUCCGCGAGCGGAGCCCCGCCCUGGUGGGACAACUCCUGCAGGCUUGAAGGGAAGCAGCACCAACACAAAAACUCCUCUAAUCAUGACUCAUGAAUACUGCCCACGAUGUGACGCUUACAUUUUCUCUUUUUAUCUAAAAAGUGAAGGGACUUUGAUGAAGAGUUAGAGCAACAAAGACUCACAGACUCGCAUGUUCCUCACUUUUAAGAGCUCCAGAAACCCUGACUCCCCCUAUAUGUAUAUGUAUAUGUAUAUGUAUGUAUUUUCAGGUGUGUUGUUAAAAAGUCGUACUCAGAGUGAAGUGCUCCAAACUUGCUGCGAUUAUGAGCUCAUGCAUCACUGCAGCGCUUAAUGAAGCAGCUCAGAGCGGACGAGGCCCUGGUUUCCUGCAGUGAAGCCACUCUAACACCAGGAUGGAUGGAGGAGAGAAAGUGAAAGGUGGAUUUGUGAGUCAUGCUUUUAAAACAUGAAGCUAUAACAAUCUUCUCUUUCAUAAAACCAACCUUAACCUGCACUACUUAUCUCGUAUGUUUUCUUCUUGUCAAUUUUCUUCUGUUUCCAAUUAGAGUUGCUUGUUUUGUAAAGACGGCAACUCCAUCAUCAACAUCAGCAGAAAAGAAAAGACUAUAUUGCCUUUAUCUUCAAGCAAGAAGACCCGGGUUGAGCCCUGGUUGGAACAAACAUCUUUCUGCAUGGAGGUCACAUGUUCUCCCUCAUGUGCGCAGGUUUUCUCCGGGUUCUCCGGUUUCCUCCCACAGUCCAAAAACAUUAGCUAAACUGGUCACUGACCAUAGGUGUGAAUGUGAGAGUGAAUGGUUGUUGUGCGUGUGCGUGCGGGUCUGCGAUGGACUGGUGAACUGUCCAGGGUGUGACCCCGGCUAUCGCCCCAUGUCAGCUGUGAUUGGCACAAAUGAGUGUACUACAGAUUCCAUGCAAUAAUAAAUAAACAUAAUAUAUAGUACGUAUUCAUUCCUCCCUCAGCUUAUUACAAACAUGUGUUUUCACUCUGAUGUUCUCAUUCCAACAGCUCACUCUCUCACACCAAAGCCCACAGAGAAAAUCAGCGAUUUAAGCUCACAGGGGACUCGAGCUGCUGGUCCACUGCUGCCUCUUGUGGUCACUUUGUGUCACUGCGGGGGCCACAGUGGACUUUGUGAGCACGUGGCUGAAGUUUGGACUUGUGUUUGUGGUGUUGGGGAGGUCAUGUGACAUCAUUCAGAGCUGACGGCUGUAUAACGUGGUCGACUUUGAAAAAGGACCUGCUCCAGAUAUAAAGUUCUAAAGGUAAAUGUAAAAAGGUGAGGAAACGUCUGCCUACACUGCCAAGCAACAGAAUUAUGAUUUAGAGACAAACAAUAAAAAGUGUUGAAAAAAAAUGAUCGGCAGCUGAAAAACAGAACAGUCUUUAUUUUUUCAAACCAAACUCCAUAGAGAAAGUCAGCGAUUUUAACAUCACUGCACACAGUAAGCUACCCUAACCCUAACCCAGUUCAAAUGUGUUCAGUAGUGAUUUCGGCUUUUGUUCUCCUUCAUUUGGUUUAACUCAGUGACACAAAGUGACCACACGAGGCAGCAGUAGACCAGCAGCUCCUGUGUCCCAGUGAGCUUAAAACACUGAUUUUCUCUCUGGGGUUUGGUGUAGGAGGGUGCGGUUUACAAACAGUUUCCUGUUGGAAAAUGGUGGUGAAAUGGUGAAAUGAAGCAGUGAAAAUAUUCUUAACUCUGUCAGGUCUGAUAGUUUUGCCUGACAGAGUCUGUUUUCAGAUGACGGACUCUCACCAAAAACAAUAACAUCAACAAACGUUACAGAGCCAUGUAGGGUCAUGCUCGGUUGGCUCCCUCCCAACAGGAAGUCCCACCUCCUCUUCCUCCUCCUCCUUUUGUUUUAAUGAAGCCCCUGGGAGACUCUGGAAAGCCCUGGAACUGAAUGCGGUCCAUCCCGUCCAAACCGCCGCCUCCUCUUCAGUCCCAGUGAGCUCGGACCAAACCCCUGCUCUUCCCCGUCGCCACGGCAACUGCAAACAGGACGGGACAGGGUCCUGCAGAAGAAGAAGAAGAAAAAAAAAAUGCUUCUAUGAUUUCACCAGAUGUCACGGCAGCAGCAGCACAGACGCUGAGCUCGGGGCACUUUUAUAGCGUGAUCCACACAAAAACACAUUUUAUGCAUUAUCAGACUUCCAGGCUCCACAGUCGCCAUCCCAUCAUUUUUAACAAGGCAAAACACGGGGGAGGCCCCUCAGCUGGCUGUGGGUGUCAAAACAUAAAACUCAGGAAGUGGACACUGCACCAUAUAACACCGUCGUCGCCAUGACAGCACGGGUGUUUCACCCGAUGCCUCCGCAUCCUCCCAUUGUCCUGGCCAUGCGUCACGUCCACACUGCCGCGGCCUCGGCGAGGACGAGGACGAUGAAGACGACGACGGCGACGACGACGUGGGAUUGUUCUGCAUCACAGUCGAGGGAAAUGCUCGUGUGAGAGGAGCAGAAAAAAUAACAAUCAAUAAAAACAGCCGCUGACCCCUGUGACCCCUGUGAGUGCAAACUAUGCAGAGGUCGCCGGGUUUCUAUUGGGCAAGAGCUGGAAUGUGAGUAACUGAUGGUGAGCGUUUGUUUGUUUGUUUGUUUGUUUGUUUGUUUGUAAACGUUGUGUAGGAGGGAGACGAAUUUACCAACUCAGUCAGACGAGAGACAUCAAAUAAAACAAGAUGGCCGCUCUCCAGUCAUGAUGUGUUCUUGUCGUCACAUGUACCAAUGUUGGUGCGUGUGGAUAAACCUGCGCUUCAGGCAUGUUGAAGCUGGACCGUCGCAGAGUGAUGCAAUCACACGGCCAGAGCCACACUGUGUGCCUCACUGGUGGAGCAGGAAGUGCAGCGCGCCGACAGGGUUUGGCUGAGCAGUAGGUGGGCGACACAAAUAAAAGUCACUAAUGGCCUCGUUCACAAAUCCAGGGGAAGUCUGGAGUCGUUCCCGGCGAAACGGGGAUGUGAACGGGAGAAAAUGGAGGAGGGCUCUCACAGAUUUAGUCUGGGAGGAAACGGGCCUUUGGCACCGCGGUCGGCUGGAGCCGUUGCCGCUUUUGGUUUUGGUGGUCGAGCCAGGUCCAGAUCUAAAUGGAGGUUUUAGUGCGGCCGACCCAGGGGCCGUUUGAGGUGUGGUCCGACUCAGUGUAAGGCCCUGCACUUCAUCACGCUGCGUCUGCUGGUGCUGGAGCUGGAGCUGGAGCUGGAGCUGGAGCAUCUCGCCAGGCGUCUCCAACCGCUCCGUUAUAGAUGAUGAGCUCACCUCAGCUGUCCACGGCCAUUACACACAGACAAAAUGGCCACUGCAGAGCAGCAAGUUUGUGUGAAAGGACGAGAGAGGAAGAGCAGACUCAGGUAUCAGCCGAUCACAAAGGUGACGUUCGAGAAAGAAAAACAACAUUUUUUAUUUGGAACUAAUUCAAUGAGCAAAAUAAGACAUUUUUUUUCACAGCGUGCACUUUAAUUUAAAAGCACUAAUAUUCCAAUGUUCAUUAAAAAAGGCACCUCAGUGAAGUAAAUUACAAUUUAAGUCACACUUUAUUAUUAUUAUUAUUAUUAAUGAAAUAAAUGUCUUGUACAAACUGCCAGGGGUGUUCCAACAGCAGGGGCCCAAAUUUGAGAGUGGGCCCCCGUGGACAGCUGAAUAACGACUAAAAUAGAUUUUUACAUUUGCACGUUUACAUGUUCUUAGUUAUUUAGUAAAAAAUAUAAAUAUAUGAAAAGUUUUCUUCACAUACAGAUCAUUUAAUAAUAAAACUAAUAAAACCUGUCCCUUUUUGCUGCUGUAACAAGGGAAUUCCCCUAAUCUAACCUAAUCUCAUCUAAUCUAAUCUUAUCUAUUUAUGACUAUUUUAAACUUUGGGGUAUCAAUAAUCAAAGUUUGGCCGUGCAGGGAGUUUCUGCUCGUCAUGGUGGAAAAAAAUAAAACCCACUAAAAACAUUCAAACUGUCAUUAGACUAGAGCUGCAAGAGCAGAGUGACUUUUUACACGAUGUGAGUCAGAGAACAGGCUGUGGAUCGACAACACAACAACCAAAUGAACACAAAACACAACACAAACACAUCUGUGUCUACGUCAGAUGUCACUGAGGUCAAUCUGAACAAAGCAUUUCAGAAGCCAAAAGUAACUGAAAAUAAGUCCAUUCGAGUUUACUGAUGGAGGCAGCUGCUGUGAUUGUGAUGGAGUUUGGUGCAGGAAGUGAGGGGUUAACAACGUCACAAAAACGUCUGUUUCCAGUUGGAAAACACUGUCUGACUAUAAGAUAUAGAAACAUAAAUGUAUUGUUAAAGGUGACAUCAAUGCUUGUAUCGCACAUAUAUGUUAGUUAUGGAGGUCUACUUACAUAUAUUAACUUGUUUUCAUGGUUAAAAACCUCCCAGUCGCUGCAAACGAGCCGAUCAAAAUAUCUCCUUACUGACACUCUCGUUAGCCGCGCUGUUAUAUAAUAUAUAUAAUAAUCAAAUUUUUGUUGAUGUUCUAAUCUGACUAAUUUAAUUUUACCUAAUCUGAUUAGACCUAAUCUAAUUUGAUCUAAUCUAAUCUAAUUUACUCUCAUUUGACCUGAUCUAAUCUGAUCAGAUUUAAUUCUAAUCAUUUAAAACUUUGGGCUAUCGAAAAUCAAAAUUUUGUUGCAGGGCCCCCUUUCCCUUGGGCCCACAAAAUCCUUUGCAACACCCCUGUAAUCUGCAAAUAAAAAUGUCAAUAUGAAAUAAAAAAAAAUAAGAAACAGUUUUUGAGCUGUGGCUCCCUGACAUCGAGCACUCUGUCCACUCUGCUGUCCACUGUG
RNA transcript from Solea solea (common sole), 6218 nucleotides. It is a transcript of the gene named CDP-L-ribitol pyrophosphorylase A, with no coding region annotated. The transcript has 13 exons. Lineage: Eukaryota; Metazoa; Chordata; Actinopteri; Pleuronectiformes; Soleidae. The record is from RefSeq and is a predicted model, not a curated record.